Molecule: long non-coding RNA, 2852 nt
Filed under: Homo sapiens (human)
Lineage: Eukaryota; Metazoa; Chordata; Mammalia; Primates; Hominidae
Description: HSALNT0385822
Source: RNAcentral
GGGUGGCGCGCGGCAGCAGGGUUGGGCUCUCGCCGUGAGUCGACGAAGGGAGCGCGGGCGCGCGCCCGCGUCCGCGCACUGAGAGUCGCCUCGGCCGCUCGCUUUCUCGACUCCCGCCUCGCGCCUCGAUCCUGUUCCGCCUCCCUCGGCCCUCCUGCCCGCCCCCACUCGUCGGCCCUCAGCUCAGAGACCUAAUAGGAUGGGGUCUUAGAGAAACAUCUUUUGAGCCACAGACUUCUUUGUUACCAGAAGGAAAAUGAAAGAAGAAAUUUAAAUACCACUUGAAGAGAGCUGAUCGCCACCAACUGGCCUCUGGGUGGAUUUGGCCAAUGGAAGCACCUGUAGAGGGAAGAGAGUGAGGUUAGGAUAUUUCUUCCUGCUGUCUCCGUGCUUCCCUGCAGAGAGUGUGAAGAAAUGACCCUGAAAAGCCUCUGGCAGAGGAUUCUUCUUUCAGGAUGGUGUCGCCUCCUCAGCAGCCCAUCCUCCUCCCCUGGACUCAAGCUCUCAUUCCAGUAACACUCCUUCCUCCUUCUCCAUCUUCAGGGGGAGGUUUGCCAGUCGGUGGGUUCUAAGCAUAUCUCGCUGAUUCCCCCCAACCCUGCCGACACCUCUGUAGGUCGUCCCUUCAUUAAAAUCUCUCCAUUUGAACUAUCUGAGUUUAAUUCCAUUUCCUCCUGGUAUCUCAGUGAUACACGGUAUCAGUACAAAAAUCUCGCUUCACCUUCAGAACCAACAGAUUUGAGACAUUUUAUCCUCUGUGGAACCAUUAGUUAUUUUGUCAUUGGUUGUAUCAGAAAAAAAAAUCAGGAAUGCAAAUCCUUCUUUAUUACAGAUUCAGAUUUGCAUAUUACCAAUGUUAUAUAUUUUAAACAAAACUAUUCAUCAUAAGUUUUAAAAAUUAACUACUGGAGUAGUUAAUGAAUCUGAAUGUAAUUAUGUAGCUUUCAUAAUAUUAAAGUAAAAAUACUAAAAGAAGUAUUUCUUAAAGAAGCAAAUGCUCAAUCUCCAAGUAAAUUUUAUUCUAUGCUCUUCCGGUAUAAGAAUAUGUUAAUAUCUUGAAAAAUAUCAUAUUAUUUUGUGAACUCAUAAAGCUAUUUUGAGUUUUUGUAAAAUGAAAACCUUACCAAAAUGUAUUUUAUUGUUGGAAAGCUUGACCGUUACUGCUGUUUAAUUUUUUGAGCUUGUAAACUUUAUUUGUGCAUGUUUUCAACAAAGAAGGAUUUUAUUGUUAUUACAUAAAACAGGUGAUUUCUAGAUUUUAAAAUCACAAAUUGAAAGCAAGGCACAAUAAUAUAUAUUUCAAGAUAUAGGUACUUAGGAGGCAUCCUUUUAGUCAUCUGUUCAAUGUAGCCAUCUAUUUUACACCUACUGUCUACUAUUGUUUGAGGUCCUUGCCAAAGUAUUGCAGGCUAGUUAGGAAACAUAAAACAAUUAGAAAGUAAUCUAUGACAAGUAAGCUAUCUAUAAAUGGCAAUGAAGGGUAGAACAAAUUCAAUGAAAAUAUCUAUUUAAUCCUAGUGUUUACUGGUCUAGAAGAAUAGGCUGAGUAAAUUAGUAUUUCUCUGGCUGUUGUGGUAACACAUUGCAUGCUAUAACAGUUUUAAGUAAUUACAGGUGCAUUGAAAUUUAUCUAUGGCUUUGUCAUCAUAUUCUAAAAUGUCAUGAGUACUUUUUUCUGACCUCAAUUACUAUGAAAUUGGUUUCCAAUAUUUAAUUAACCAAGAAUAUCAAGUCUAUAGGGUAUUAUUAAGGUGAGACUUCUGUAGCCUUUUCAAUAAAGACCAGAAUUUUGGAGUGCCUUGAACCUUAAUCAUUGAUCUUUAAUUCUUAUUAAGUCAACUGCCCACCUUUUAAAGACUGAGGCCCAGGAAGAGUAAGUUUCUCUGAGACAAUGCAUACAGUACAGUGCUUCUUGGGUAUUGGCUCUAAGACCAGAUGCAAAGAAAGGCUAAAAUCCCAUUUCAUUGUUCAUUAGGUGAGAACCCUUUGUUAAGCUGUGUAACCUCUGUGCAUAGUUUCCUCAUCAGCAAAGUCAGAAAAAGUAUGUACCUGAAGGACUGAUUGUAAGGCUGGGAUGAGAGAAUCCAUGUGAUCAGCCCUCACCAACAGGUGCUGCCCAGUUCAUGAGUGCUGCUGCUGUCCUGCCCAAGUACCCAGCUUGCAGAGUGCCAGAGUUAGAGUCCCAGGGGUGUUCUCCACAGCUGCAUGCUUGAUCCAGGCCUAUCAGAUAUAUUCCAUUGAAAGUCCUCAUUCUCAAAUUUAAAACAAAGACUUUUUGUGUACCUCAAUAGCAAUGCACACACAGUUGGCUUCACAAACAUAUUGUACAUUUCUUUUUUUCAUAUUUAUUCAACAAAUGUAUAUUGACUACCCACCGUGUGACAGGUGUUAUUUGUUGACGGAACCAGGCAUCAUCAGCAAACAAAACUGACAAAGCUUCCUGCCCUCUGUGGAAGGCAUCUGAGGAAGAGACUGGAUUUUGUAGCAACAUGUUAUUCUCAUUAUAAACUUUAUCAUUGGAAUACUAAAGCCAAAUCAUCCCCCAUCUCCUUGAUCAGGAUACCCACUUAAUCUAGGCAGCUACACAAUUGUGAGAGCCUUUGUUUUUUUCUGCUGAAACAUCCUUAAAAAGAUACCUCACAACCCAAGAUUUGGCUUUUCUUAAAUACGAUUUUUAAUUUUUUUCAUUUCUAUCUAGAGAUUUAAUUGGAAAUGGAAAAUCAUCAAUUUUCCAAUUAAAUGUCUGUUCCAAUCAACAUUAUACCUUUUAGGUUGUCAUUGUCAUUUUUAAGUUUAAGCAACUUUAAGGAUUUUGAAUCUGGCUGCCUGUAAAUUAAAGGUGAAAGUAAUCA